RNAcentral lists this ribosomal RNA (468 nucleotides) under uncultured bacterium. RNAcentral describes it as "partial 16S ribosomal RNA". It matches the Rfam family "Bacterial small subunit ribosomal RNA", at positions 28 to 507 of the family's 1533-position model. The record is from RNAcentral.
GACGAACGCUGGCGGCGUGCUUAACACAUGCAAGUCGAACGGACAGGCCCUGCUUUUGUGGGGUGCUCGAGUGGCGAACGGGUGAGUAAAACGUGAGUAACCUGCCCUUGACUUUGGGAUAAAUUCAGGAAAAAGGGGCUAAUACCGGAUAGGAGAUCCUGCUGCAUGGUGGGGGUUGGAAAGUUUCGGCGGUUGGGGAUGGACUCGCGGCUUAUCAGCUUGUUGGUGGGGUAGUGGCUUACCAAGGCUUUGACGGGUAGGCGGCCUGAGAGGGUGGCCGGCCACAUUGGUACUGAGAUACGGCCCAGACUCCUACGGUAGGCAGCAGUGGGGAAUAUUGCGCAAUGGGCGGAAGCCUGAUGCAGCAACGCCGCGUGCGUGAUGACGGCCUUCGGGUUGUAAACCGCUUUCGCCUUCGACGAAGCGUGAGUGACGGUAAUUGGUAAAGAAGCACCGGCUAACUACGUG